Molecule: long non-coding RNA, 147 nt
Organism: Archocentrus centrarchus (flier cichlid)
Lineage: Eukaryota; Metazoa; Chordata; Actinopteri; Cichliformes; Cichlidae
Exons: 3
Source: RefSeq, a predicted model, not a curated record
UCAGCGUUUUUAAGCCUUGGAGUAUCUUUGUCCACGUCUGUAGCCGAUUGUGUGAGCAGAAAUGGGUCGACAAGUUUUACAUAAAAGAUGAAAACGUUAUCAACGCCUGAAGUCUUUUUUGUCAGCUAUCUGUCUAGCAUGGUCCAG